This 433-nucleotide ribosomal RNA is filed under the name uncultured bacterium. RNAcentral describes it as "partial 16S ribosomal RNA". It matches the Rfam family "Bacterial small subunit ribosomal RNA", at positions 29 to 507 of the family's 1533-position model. The record is from RNAcentral.
AACGAACGCUGGCGGCAUGCCUAACACAUGCAAGUCGAACGAGACCUUCGGGUCUAGUGGCGCACGGGUGCGUAACGCGUGGGAACCUGCCCUUAGGUUCGGAAUAACUCCCCGAAAGGGGUGCUAAUACCGGAUAAUGUCUUCGGACCAAAGAUUUAUCGCCUUUGGAUGGGCCCGCGUUGGAUUAGCUAGUUGGUAGGGUAAAAGCCUACCAAGGCGACGAUCCAUAGCUGGUCUGAGAGGAUGAUCAGCCACACUGGGACUGAGACACGGCCCAGAAUCGUACGGGAGGCAGCAGUGGGGAAUAUUGGACAAGGGGGGAAAGCCUGAUCCAGCAAUGCCGGGGGAGUGAUGAAGGCGUUAGGGUUGUAAAGCUCUUUUACACGGGAUGAUAAUGACAGUACCGGGAGAAUAAGCUCCGGCUAACUCCGUG